UACGUAGGUGGCAAGCGUUGUCCGGAAUCAUUGGGCGUAAAGGGCGCGUAGGCGGUCAAUUAAGUCAGAUGUGAAAACUCCGGGCUUAACCUGGAGAUUGCAUUUGAUACUGGUUGACUUGAGUGCAGGAGAGGACAGUGGAAUUCCUAGUGUAGCGGUGAAAUGCGUAGAUAUUAGGAGGAACACCAGUGGCGAAGGCGGCUGUCUGGACUGUAACUGACGCUGAGGCGCGAAAGCGUGGGGAGCAAACAGG
Molecule: ribosomal RNA, 253 nt
Filed under: uncultured bacterium
Lineage: Bacteria
Description: partial 16S ribosomal RNA
Rfam family: Bacterial small subunit ribosomal RNA
Source: RNAcentral